This 249-nucleotide ribosomal RNA is filed under the name uncultured bacterium. Its description in RNAcentral is "partial 16S ribosomal RNA". It matches the Rfam family "Bacterial small subunit ribosomal RNA", at positions 524 to 776 of the family's 1533-position model. The record is from RNAcentral.
UACAGAGGUCUCAAGCGUUGUUCGGAUUCAUUGGCGUAAAGGGUGCGUAGGUGGCGCGCUAAGUCAGGUGUGAAAUUCGGAGCUUAACUCCGAAACUGCAUUGAUACUGGCGUGCUUGAGGACUGGAGAGGAGACUGGAAUUCACGGUGUAGCAGUGAAAUGCGUAGAUAUCGUGAGGAAGACCAGUGGCGAAGGCGGGUCUCUGGACAGUCCUGACACUGAGGCAGCGAAGGCCAGGGAGCAAACGGG